This 465-nucleotide ribosomal RNA is filed under the name uncultured bacterium. Its description in RNAcentral is "partial 16S ribosomal RNA". It matches the Rfam family "Bacterial small subunit ribosomal RNA", at positions 338 to 795 of the family's 1533-position model. The record is from RNAcentral.
CCUACGGGUGGCAGCAGUGGGGAAUAUUGCGCAAUGGGCGAAAGCCUGACGCAGCGACGCCGCGUGAGGGAUGAAGGUCUUCGGAUCGUAAACCUCUGUCAGCAGGGAAGAACGGUCACUGUGCUAAUCAGCAGUGAAUUGACGGUACCUGCAAAGGAAGCACCGGCUAACUCCGUGCCAGCAGCCGCGGUAAUACGGAGGGUGCGAGCGUUAAUCGGAAUUACUGGGCGUAAAGCGCUCGUAGGCGGUAUGUCAAGUCAAGGGUGAAAUCCCCGGGCUCAACGUGGGAACUGCCUUUGAAACUGUCGAACUGGAGUGUGUGAGAGGAUAGUGGAAUUCCAGGUGUAGGGGUGAAAUGCGUAGAUAUCUGGAGGAACAUCAGUGGCGAAGGCGACUAUCUGGCACAUAACUGACGCUGAGGAGCGAAAGCGUGGGUAGCAAACAGGAUUAGAUACCCCAGUAGUC